UACGGGGGGGGCAAGCGUUGUUCGGAAUUACUGGGCGUAAAGGGCGCGUAGGCGGCCUGCUAAGUCACACGUGAAAUCCCUCGGCUCAACCGGGGAACUGCGUGUGAUACUGGCGGGCUUGAAUUCGGGGGAGGGAUGUGGAAUUCCAGGUGUAGCGGUGAAAUGCGUAGAUAUCUGGAGGAACACCGGUGGCGAAGGCGGCAUCCUGGACCGAGAUUGACGCUGAGGCGCGAAAGCUAGGGGAGCAAACGGG
RNAcentral lists this ribosomal RNA (253 nucleotides) under uncultured bacterium. RNAcentral's name for it is "partial 16S ribosomal RNA". It matches the Rfam family "Bacterial small subunit ribosomal RNA", at positions 524 to 776 of the family's 1533-position model. The record is from RNAcentral.